GUACACUCCUGCGGGAGGCAGCAGUGGGGAAUAUUGGACAAUGGGCGCAAGCCUGAUCCAGCCAUGCCGCGUGAGUGAUGAAGGCCCUAGGGUUGUAAAGCUCUUUCACCGGUGAAGAUAAUGACGGUAACCGGAGAAGAAGCCCCGGCUAACUUCGUGCCAGCAGCCGCGGUAAUACGAAGGGGGCUAGCGUUGUUCGGAUUUACUGGGCGUAAAGCGCACGUAGGCGGACUAUUAAGUCAGGGGUGAAAUCCCGGGGCUCAACCCCGGAACUGCCUUUGAUACUGGUAGUCUUGAGUUCGAGAGAGGUGAGUGGAAUUCCGAGUGUAGAGGUGAAAUUCGUAGAUAUUCGGAGGAACACCAGUGGCGAAGGCGGCUCACUGGCUCGAUACUGACGCUGAGGUGCGAAAGCGUGGGGAGCAAACAGGAUUAGAUACCCGGGUAGUCCCAUGAU
Molecule: ribosomal RNA, 454 nt
Filed under: uncultured organism
Description: partial 16S ribosomal RNA
Rfam family: Bacterial small subunit ribosomal RNA
Source: RNAcentral